ACAACUUUACUGGUUACACUCAAGGUGAUACAAGCCAAAUUAGCUUUAACCGUUCAAGGACUAUAAUUCAAGGACAAUACAAAAGGACCCAAGCCACGAUCAUCUCAAGGAUGCAAGGAUAUGUUUGGAGGACCCUUUUCAAGCUCCCCGGGUGUGGAGUAUAGCUUGUAAUCGGGAGCCAAAUUCACCUCAAAACUUCUACUAGGAAGCAAGCUCGAGAACGACCAACAUUCCAAUGAUUAUUGAUGAAGCUAGAUGUGUUACAAACAACCUUGAUACCAUUUAAGGAGUGUUGUAUGUUUCCCAAUGCAUUCAAGAAGGAUCGAAGGCCAUUAGAGAGGUCGUUGAAGGAUCGAAAGGAGCUCGAAGACAAUUUGGAGUGACCUACGAAGUCAACUGUGCCCACAAGUGACUGACCUGCGUCCGGAGGUGACUGACUUGCGCCCACAGGUGACUGACCUGUGCCCGCAGAUGGCACCUGCGCCCUCCAACUGUACCAGCAGAUGGCCGUCUAUGUGGGCAUGUGGUCCAAAGCAGUCAGCUUGCUUCAUUUUGUAAAAUUGGGUCACUUUUUGGGCCAUAAAUGUAAUAAAUAGCUCAUGAAUAUAAAUAGUAGAUUUCUUCAUUUUUAGUUUUGUUAGCUUUUGAUGAUUAUUUUGAAUAUACACUUGUGAGUGUGAGAGCUAGGAUUAGCUUGUGUUGAACAUGUUUCGAAACGUGAGUUACUUGGGAGUUCGAUUCCCUUGUGGUUUACGUAAGAGAUAGGUGUUUGAAUGUAUUUGAAAAGGAGGUCUUAGAAUAUGAUACAUUCUUCGAUUGUCCUUUCCUAUAUUUUGUUGUGUCUAUCUAUCUAUCUAUCUAUCUAUCUAUCUAUCCUUUACCUUUCUGCAAUUUCAAUUCUAUCAUUUCUUUAGUUUUUGUGUUUGUUUCGUCUUCUAGUAUUUGCGCGUUAUCAUUUGGUUUCAGAGCCGAGCUUGAGUUCGUUCCCACGAAUUCGAUCUUGGACUUGUUACGUAGAAAAUUUUCAUUUUUGAGAAAAACCCCAAAAAUAUUUUUUUGUUGAGUCUUCUUUGUAGUUUCUAUACUAGAUUUUGUUUCAUUUAGUAUAUUUGAGUGGGAAUCUUGAGCUUUAAACUUGGCUUUAGUAGUUUUGAAGAAAAACCCAUUGUUGGGCUUGUGUUUGAAGAAAUUUGAAAAGUGAAUUUUUAGAUAUAGUCAUUUUGAUUGUUGAUUUGAAGGAUAAAAUUGUUGGAAAGUGUUCUCUAUCUUGAAGGGAACCUAGAGCUAAAAUUUGGUGUCGAUUGGAGAAGUGUUGAAAAAUCCACCAUUUUUAGAUUUAAAGCUUGAAGAAAUAUGCAAAUAGGUUUGGAAAUCUGAAAAUUUUGGUGAGGAUUUGAAGGUUAAAGGUUCCAAAUGUUGUUGGAUGGUGUUCCCCGUGAUGAAGAGAGCUUUGAUUUCAAAUUUAUUGAAUUCCGAGCAAAAAAAAAGUUGUGGUUUUUGGAUAUUCAGAUUUGUUCUUGAAGAUAUUCAAGAAGAAGAUUCAUCCAAAAAGUGUGUUAGUUCCAAAAAAGGAAGAAAGAGAAACGUGUUUGGGUGUUGGUACAAAAGAAUAUCUCAAAAGAAAAAGGAAUAUUUUAGGAGAGAGAACCCAAAAGGGCCCACAAAAAGGGGAAAUUUGGAGUUCUAGCUAAGCUGUCUGGAGCACCUGCGCCGCCAUCUACGCACGCAGGUCCCACAUGCAGCUGCAUGUGGACAGCGCAGGUCACUCCAGCAACUUGUUUUGACAUGCAACCUCCACCUGAGCUCGCAAGUCAUGACAUGCAUCUGCACACCUCCAAAACGCACUUCAACCAUCUCAAAUUCCAUUUUGCUCAGGUUCCAAGAUCUUAGUCUCACUUCUUGAUUCCUUAUUUCAUUUUUUAAUUCCUAAACUAGUUAACAAUUAGUAAUUCAUCUACUCGGUUGAUUAAGUCUCGAGUCCCAUUUCUUUUAUGCUUUUCUCGUUUUUGUUUCGUUGUUAUUUAUUUAUUCAAGUCUGUGGUUGUUUGUUUGAGUCAUAUAUUCUUCUUCAAAACAAGAAUCCAUUCCGACCACGAUUAGCAAUUGACACCACGUCUUCCAUUGAAGUGGAAACGAUCUUUCAACGCGACUCCUAUUGUAAGGAAGACAACGGUAAGAAUCUUACGAGCGUGGCGAGGAGCUUUUACUACUUUGUUCAUUUUGUAGGUACAAGGAGUUAUAAGGAAGUAUAUCGUCGGUAACUUCGGAUACUUGUGACCACAACAUAGGAUAUACUAUAAUUGUGGUGAGGAACGCCAAGUUGCUUGGAUUCUCCAAAAAUGUUGCCACACCCGUGUCAAAUCCUUCAUAAAUACACUAUUGUUAGAGGAUCCGACAUGCACCCAUAGACAUUUUUGAAGAGACCAAGCAACUUAGAGGAAGGCUACGGCUAUGACAAAGAUGGAGAUUAUGGAGGCUAUAAAUAUAGCCAUCAUCAAGAGUCGUCUGGGAAUACGAGCAACUAUCCCGGAGAAGGAUAUGAGGCCAAUAAUGAGUUUAGCUCUUAUGGAGAGGACGAAGAGCCUUGUGAUGGUUUUUUUUAUGACAAUGGAGCAUAUGAAGAGUUUCACUUCCCACUCCAGGAAUGAAGGUGAUGUAAGGUAUAACGCUUUCUCUUAUGCACCUUAUAAGAAUCAUAGUGAGAACAUGCAUGAGGAUUUCGAAGAUUCAUAUGCCUUACCUUAUGGAACUUCUUAUCAAAGUUGAAUUAUGAGUCGUUAUACUACCUUUAGUAGAAGUCGUCAAAUGGGAAGAAAGAGAGUGUACACCUCCGAGAUCAAGGGAAACUACAUCCUAUACUCCUCGCUCCAAUGCACCAAUUUCGGGAUGUAGGAACCAAAGGCUAGCUAGAAAGAGUUGAUAUAGGUCUUGAAGCUAUCAAGGUCACUCUUCCUAUUUUAAAAAGAGAGUGUGAUUCCGAGACUUAUCUCAAUCGGGAAUGGCAAUGUAAGUUGGUUUUCCAAGACCAUAACUUGAACGAAAACGAGAAAGAGAAGACCCAAUAUGAUGUUGAACACCUUAAAGGGAGUGUUUCCGCUUAGUGGAAAAUCUAUAGUGUGACUCUAUGUUUAGUAUAUGGUUAUAUAAAGAGAGUGCCAUGGAAAGACUUCAAGGGAUUCCUUAGAAGCUAAUAUGUUCCGAAAGGAUACAUGAAGCUUUACAAUGCUAACUCGAGAAGACAAACUCUUAACCUUAAAGUUGCUUUUCGUGGAAUUCCAAGAUUUGAUCUUGCUUUAGAUGAUUGGUGUUAUGAAAAUUACAUCACUCAUUAUACGGUAGAAUACUUGAGAAUGCCAUAAGUGUCAAACCGUCAACCAUAUAUCAUGGAUGGAUAUAAGGUCACCGAGAAUGUGAAGGUCUCUUUCACUUGUAAAGGGUAUUACGAGGUGGUUUGAUGUGAUGUACUUCCCAUAAACUCUAGUCAUUUAUGUUUGGGUGCCAACGGGUUUGCAAGAUAUGGAAUUCCAAAUGAGUAAAAUUGGCCUAAGAUCGUUGUGGACCAAUGGAGAAAUCAUCUAUUUCCACCUGCCCUUCCCAAUCGUCAAGGAAAUGGCACUUACUCCACACCCAACCAAACUGAGAGACAAGAUUGAGAGGAGUAAGUGAGUACAAAGUGGUAACCCAACAGUUGAAAAAGGAGAGGUUGUGAGGAGUGAAGUGAAAGGGUUACCACAAACCCAAUCUAACUUUGUUUGUCCUUCUCUUAGUAAGGAUAUAUGUGUAGGUACAACGAUGGCAAAUGGAGAAGCACCAACUCCCAAAGAGAAGAUUAACUUUGAUGGAGUGAUGAGUUUCUUAACCAAACUAGGCAAAGGGUGGACUCUUUCAAGGAACGGCUUGAAGCAUGUUCCAACACUUUGAAAAGGAACCUUGCACCAAGGUAAAGAAGAAUCUUCUCAAGAACUUCAAGGUAAAAAAGCUAACUCUUGAACUUUAGUAAAUGUGAAAGAUCAUUGUAUGGCUAGUAGCCAAUUGACUUUGAGUGAUAGUUUAUCUAUAUGUGAGCCUAAUGAUUAUUUGCAUGUGUUGAUAAUGUACAUGUUGAGGGUGUGGAUACACUAGUUGAUCCUAUUAAUGACCGAAUUGAUUCUUCUUGUAAGGUCGAUUUGAGUCCAUAUAGUGUUGAAGCCGUUGUGUUGAAUGAUAGUACAUUUCUUAUGAAAAUGGUAUUGAUCAACUUACUUGUGAAUCUAGUCCACUACUUGAGAGUGUUUGUGAUGUGGUUAGUGAACCUCAAGUUAGUGAUGAUGUUGAUAAUAUUUAUACUUUGAAUAAGAGUGACCCUUUGAGCAUACCUUCUAGUGAAAAUACUAUUACUUGCUUGGCUCAUUUAGAUGAUCAUGUGUUUGAAACUUCUUCGAAAUUUGAUAAUUGUUUUCUUGAGAGUGAACUUACAUGUUCCAAUUCACCUUCUUGGAUUGAUCCUUCUCUCUUUAGGUACAAUUUCUUAUUUAAGGAUGAUAAAAUCACUCCUACUGAACUAACUAGUGGUGUAGAUCAUGUUAAUGAUGUAGCUCUUCUUAAGGGUUAAACUUCAAUAACAACCCACUAUGAUGACAACAUUCCUCCUAAAAAUGAAAAUCUCUUCUUAGAAGAUAAGAAUACUCUAUAGGAAAGGAUUUUGAGGAAGUUAAAAGUGAUUUUUGUAUACCAAUUGUUUAUUCUUCUUCAAGUGUUCCAAUGAGCAUAUUCUUGAAAAAGUUUUUGAACAUAGUAGUGACCAUGCACUAGAGGACACCUUAGAUGAAAUCAAUUUGCUUGACACCUUUUUUUUACUCUCUAUUUGUCUAUGAAAACACUUAUGCUUGUGAAGAGAGUAUAUCUUUUUGUGUUGGUGGCACCUUUGAGGAAAAAUGGUGGUUUCUAAACCCAUGUCUAUGGCCACUCUACCCAUUUGACCCCGGUGACCCAUUGGAAUGUGGUGGUUGUAAGCCAACCCACUUGGUGCUUGGUCAAGAUGAUAAGCAAGGUUUGGAUAGAGUUGUCUGUACUAUUCUCUAUGACGGAGAAUCUUUCUUGAGGAUUUCUAAUCCACUUGAAAGACCAAAGUUGUGUAAGGGAAAGAUCUCCAACAAAGAUGAAUGUUCUUUAAAGAAGAAGAGCAAUGGAAAAAACCAAAAGAAUUCUCCAUUGUGUGUUUCCAAUCUUGAACAAAGUUUUAUUACUUGUAGGCCGGAGAGUGAGUCUUGUCUUGAAAACACCAUGGAUGAAUUCUAUUUAUGUGAUACCUUUCUGUAUUACCUUUUUGCUUAUGAUGUUAUUCAUAAUGGUGUUGAAUCAACAUCUUAUGUGAACAUGGAAUGUUUUGAAGGAAAAAACAUUAUGAGCUUAAAUGCAAUAUGUUUGUUAACUUCAAUAGGGGAUACUUUCUUAUUUGACCCCAGUGAUGAUUUGCAAGUAAUCUCAUUCUUGGAGAUAGCUAGUGCAUUGAGUAAAGUCUUUAGUUGGAAUGAUCUUGUUCAUAACAUUGCACUUUGCUUUAGAGAUUAUCAUGUGACUCUUGACGUAAAGGGAAAUUGUGUGUGUACGACCUCGUAAAAUUUCAACCAUUUUAUUUUUGAACUUCCCGUGUACGUAACAUAUAUUUUUGACUUGAAUUAUGUUAAGGGAUGUUAAAAGAAUGUCUGGAAAAAGUUUCAAAAUUUUUGGAAGGGGUUCGAGGCCAUUUUGGGACCCAAGGGCGGGGUCAGCAAUAGUGGCGUGCCACGCCACUUAGCUUCGCGAAAAGAGCGUGGCACGUUGGCUACCCUCCGCUCUUGCGGCGCGCCACACUGCUAUAUAUUUUUCGUCUAGUUUUUUAUUUUUCAAUUGAGGUGAGGGGCUUUUUGGUCUUUUACCCCCUUAAACGACUUUAAAACACCAAAUUGACCUUUUUCCCUUCAGUUAUCACGAUCAAACACCAUUCUUUUCCUUCUUAACUCUCGACCCAAGAAAGUUCAAGGGUUUCACAAGAAAUCACCACUUCAGGUUCCAAACUUUGAUUUCUCUUCAAAUUCUUUGGUAUUUCAGGCAUGUUUCUCUGUCUUUAACUUGAAUUUUACAUUGUGGCAUCAAUUUAUUGAACAUUCGUGAUUUAAAUUGUUGGGUUUGAAAUUAGGUUGAGGGAUUUUGAUAGUUAUUACGUGAAUUGUUUUUUCCAUGUUUUAAAUAUGUUAUUCAUGCUAUAAUUGAUUGUUUUGGAGACUGAAUUGGUGCAUAAUUAUAAUAAUUGGAAUGGGGGACAAGGGUUUUCCCAAAUUGAUGAAAUCUUAGCUUAAUAAUGACAUUAACCUUAAUCCACUUUACAAUCUAGGUUUUUAAUAUGAAUAUUCAUAUAGUUUAACUUAUCCUUUGAAAACAUUGCAUUGCAUUAAAGGAUAAAUGAAUAACAAUAAUUUUGGGAUGACCUUGGUGGCCAUGAUUUUGGAUUUUAAAUGGAACUUAGAAGUCUAAAGGUUAAAUGGAUUGGUUUGACAUAAUUGAAUUAGCUUACAAGCAUAUUGGUAUGACGAUAUCAUGUUGGAAAAUGCCUUAAUAAAGACUUUUGGUUAAUGGUUGGGUUUAUGUGUAAACUGUUUAACUUUAGGCUUAAAGGAAAUUGUGUAGUUCACCAUGAAGGUGUAGCCCGAGGAAGCAACACUGGAAACAACGUUUGCCGACUUUGGGAGUCUAUAUGACCAUGUGUGUGGAUACACAUUAUAUUUUGGAUGGUUAUCACCUUGGUGUCUUUACCAUUUCCUCAGUAUAUGUGGCUAACAUGGACUGAGGCCCUUUCGGCAGGGGAGCCAAACCCAUAUAGCCCGUGGGUGCCUUUAGGACGGAGCGAGCUACGUAGUUCAGGCUAAUGAUUUAAACUAUCAUGGUAAUGGGCCCUUACCCCUAUCCCGGCAUCCUAUAUACAUCUAUAUAAAUGUUGUGCAUGUGGUUUCAACUGGUUUUUGAUAAAUACACUAUUUUAUCACUUUCCCUCGAGUUAUAUGUCAGUGCUCGCCCCAUUGACCACCCCAGGACGCUGCAUCAUUUCAUGAUGUAGGUUUAGAGGACUAUUCUGUAGCUCCUGUGCAGCGUUAGGUGGUUCGGUACGUCUAUUGGUCUGUUGUGAAGUAGUGAGCCUCCAUCUUUCGGAAUGCCUGGUCCUUUCAUUGGUUUUAUUAUUGCCUUAGUAUUUCUUUUUGGAUUCUCUUUGUCAUAGUUGAGGGCAUGUCAGUUGGUAUUUUUGAUUUAGAGGCUUUUGUGGACAGUUUUGGGGAUGACAUAGAUGUUUUGUUUUGACUCUUUAUCUUUCUUUUGGAUUAAUAUAUCCUUUAUAAACUUGUGUGACUUCCGUUGUUUACAUUUAUGUGCUCUUGAGGUAAGGCUAAGGAGGGUAUCUCUGGCCAUGGUGGGCUUGAGAUUACCCGUCACCGCCAAGCCCGAUUUCGAAUCGUGACAAGCUUGGUAUCAAAGCCAGGUUUAAGGUCUCUGGAUGUCUACAAAACCAUGUUAAGUAACAUUCUUUUUAUAGGUGUGUAGCGCGCCACACUUAUAAGGGGUAGGCUACAAGACAUUUAGGAGUGUUUCCCUUUCUUGUGUUCUAUUUCGGGCUAUAGAGUUUAGUUGCUAUGGAACUUCUCUAACUCCUUAAUUACUCACGUUUCAAAUCAUGUCUCCCUGGAGAUCUAACGAUCAUAGAAACUCUGUUGAAACCUCUGUCCCACCUGGGGAAAAUGUGGAGGGAAUUCGCCCUACUUAUGGAGUGCAGACCCGAUCCAGGGUCUUGUUCCUGACUGUGCCGCUCCACCUGGGGUUCCACUGGUCCCUACUAGUCCUCCUCGAACUUCUCAGACUGGUGAUACUUAUGCUCAGUCGCCUCAGGGAGAUCUCUAAUGCAGAGUUCCGUCAGUCUAUCCAUAUGUUUGCCCAACUGGUGGCAUCACAGUCUCGUCGAUCUGAUUAUGUUGGUCUUGUUGCUAAUUCAUCUGAGGUUACCCGUAUUUGGCUAGUUUAUGAGGUUGAAUCCCCCAACCUUUAUAAGCUCUAAGGUUGAGGAAGAUCCUCGGGGGUUUAUUGAAGAGAUGGAGAAGAUCUUUAGGGUGAUGCAUGCUACUGAUUCAGAAGGUGUGGAGUUUGUUGCUUAUCAAUUAAAGGAGGUAGCUUACCAGUGUUACGAGGAGUGGGAAGAGAUGACGGGAUGGUGCUGAGCCGGUGAAGAUUUUGUGAACUUGAAGCAAGGUAAGAUGAGUGUUAAAGAGUACGCACUGAAGCUCCAACAGUUGCCCUGUUAUUCUCCGGAAUUGGUGUCUAAUACGAGGUCCUGAAUGAGGAAGUUUGCUUUUGGUUUAUCCCGUGACUUGGUGUUAGUGUGCAAGGCUGCUAUGUUGAAUAAUGAUAAGGACAUAUCCAGGAUGACUGUUUAUAUGCAGCAGGUGAAGGAUGAGAAAAAGAAGCAAGUAGAGAUGGAAGAAAGGCAAAACAAGAAGUUUAGAUAUACGGAGCAGGGUAUAGGUCAGUAGAACAGUGGGAGAAAUGAUAGGCAGUGGACUAAGAAAAAAAAUUGGAGAAAUUCUUAUUCGUCAGCCAGAGCUCCUUAUCUUAACCCUUCGGGUGAUCAUCGUUUUCAUGCUAGUAGUGGUCUUAAGGCACAGGGUGCCUAGUCUCACGUCAGUAGAGCUCAGUCAGGCCUACCCUAUCCUCCUUGUCGAUUUUGUGGACAGCUUCAUUGUAGGUAUUGUGAAGAGAGGAGGAAUUUGUGUUUUAAUUGUGGUCAGCCUAAUUACCUGCAUAAUUACCUGCAGCGGAAUUAUCCUAUAGCUAAUGUUACCACUAAAGCUAAUAAAGUCUCGGUCGCCACUUCUUAAGCUCUUGCACCUAAGGGCGCUACAUUAGGUAUCGCCUUUAUGCAUUUGCUACUCGCCAGGAGUAUGAGGCAUCCCCAGAUGUUGUUACUGGUAUGUUACAGCUCUUUUCCCGUGAUGUUUACUGUUUGCUUGAUCCGGGUUCUACCCCGUCUUAUAUGACCCCUUAUGUAGUUGUACACUUUGGUUUUGGUCCUAAAAUUAUUUUCGACACCUUCUUUGUUUCUACUCAGUGGAUGACUAUUGUUGCUAGAAAAAUCUAUAAGGGUUGUAUGAUGUCCAUUCUCCCUAGGGACACAUUGGUGGAUUUGAUAGAACUUGACAUGGUAGAUUUUGAUGUAAUCUUGGGGAUGGAUUAGCUCCAUUCAUGCUAUGUUUCUCUGGAUUGUUGGAUUGUAGCACCUGAAAGGUCAGUUUUCAUUUUCCUAAUGAACCGAUGGAGGUUUAUUUCCUAUCUUAGAGCUCAGAAGUUGAUCUCCAAGAGGUGUCUGUAUCAUCUAGUUCGGCUUAAGAAUUCUAACUCUGAGAGUCUUUUUUUGCAAUCUGUUCCAUUUUGGUUAAUGAAUUUCCUGAAGUUUUUCCUGAUGAUCUUCCUGGAAUUCAUCCCAUUUCCAUUUCUCCUUAUAGAAUGGCUCCGGCUAAACUAAAAGAACUAAAGGAGCAGUUAAAGAAUCUUCUUAAUAAUGGUUUCAUCCGUCCUAGUGUUUCUCCAUGGGGUGCUCCUGUUCUUUUUGUGCGAAAAAAAGAUGGAUCUCUUCAAAUAUGUAUAGACUAUUGUCAGUUGAAUAAGAUUACAGUAAAAAAUAAAUACCCUCUUCCUAGGAUUCAUGGUCCUUUCGACCAACUUGAGGGUGCUAGGUGUUUCUCAAAAAUGGAUCUCCAUUCGAGCUAUCACCAGUUGAAAAUUAAGGAGGUUGAUAUUCCCAAGACUGUUUUCCGAACACGAUAUAGCCAUUAUGCGUUUUUGGUUAUGUCAGUUGGAUUGACUAAUUUUUCGGCUGCAUUCAUAUAUCUUAUGAAUCGGGUGUUUAGGCAGUUUUUGGAUUUGUUUGUUAUAGUCUUCAUUGAUGACAUCUUGGUGCACUCUAAAAGUGAGGAGGAUUAUGUCAAUCAUCUCCGAAUUGUGUUGCAAACUCUUAAGGACCAGAAAUUAUAUGCUAAAUUUUCCCAAGUGUGAAUUUUGGCCAAGUGUUGUGACUUUUCUCGGGUAUGUUGUUUCUAGUGAAGGGAUCAAGGUGGAUCCACAAAAAGUUGAGGCAGUUAAGAAGUGACCUAGACCCACGACUCCAACCGACAUUAAGAGCUUCUUGGGCUUGAUUGGGUAUUAUAGAAGGUUUGUGAAGAGUUUCUCAUCUAUCGUUGCUCCGCUGACGAAGUUAACUCAGAAAAAAAUUAAGUUUUUGUGGUCCGAUGCUUGUGAAGGUAGUUUUGAGAAGUUGAAGAAUAAGUUGACUUUUGCACCUGUUUUGAUCCUACCCAAAGGAACUAAUGGGCUUGUCCUGUAUUGUGAUGCGUCCCGUUUGGGACUAGAUUGUGUUUUGAUGCAGCAUGAUAAGGUUGUAGCCUAUGCUUCGAGGCAGCUUAAGGUCAUGAGAGGAAUUACCCGACUCAUGAUUUAGAGUUGGCAAUUGUGAUCUUUGCUUUGAAAAUCUAGCGUCAUUAUCUGUAUGGGGUGCAUGUGGAUAUUUAUUCAGACCAUAAGAGCUUGCAGCAUGGUAAACUACUGAGGCUUGGCGCGAUCAUGGCGCGACGCAUCGGGUAUCGCGUCGAUGCCAUCAACGCGCCGCGUCGCCAAUUGCGUCGAUGCCCAGUUUCCAGUCAUUAAAUGUCCGCAUCCUUAAGGGUAAUUAGGUCAUUUUUCCCCAAUCUUCAGCCCUCAUAACACGAAAUUUAGCCCUCUUUUGGCUAAAUACAUUCAUUAUUUCUCUAUUCCUCAAGAACAAGAAACCCUAGGUGGAUAAUUUCAAGGCAAGAAUUCAAACUUUCCUCCAUCAAUCUUCAAGAAAUCAUCCACUAAGGUAUGUAAAGUGUUCAUCCAAGGAUCCCUUUCAUCCUUGGAGCUCAAGAAUCCAAUUUUAAAUUAUAAAUUGUGAUAUUCAUGUUGCGAAUUGAUUUUAACCAUGUUGAUGUUGUUGUAUGAUCCCAAGUUGGAACCUUUAAUGUGAAUUCAUGAAAUUAGGUUAGCAUGUGGGUUGAAAUCUAUGAAAUUGUGUUAAUUAAUGUAAUCAUGAUCUAUUGAUCUAAUGUUCAUGCCUAAGCCUAAAGUUAUGCAUGCAAGGUGUUUGAUAAAAUGCCUAAGAGAACAAGAAUUACGCAUUUAUGACUCCAUAGGGCCUAAAUGAUGAAUUCAUGCUUUACCCUUAUGCUAAAAAAUGACUCCCAUGCUAUUGAUGUGUGUUGUAAUUGUUUUGAUGAAAUAAUCAUGAUAUUAGAGUUAUGCAAUUAUGGCAUGUUUAUAUGUAUUCUUCUACAUGUACAAGAUUAUGAAUAUCAAAUGCUUCAUGAAAAUCCCCAAUGAUUGAACUAUGAAUUGUUGACUAUGGUCAUGUGCCAAGAAGUGUCAUGUCUUGUCAAUUUCAUUCGUACCCGACAAUUUAGCUGUGUGCCUAGGGCCAGUGUCAGUUUUCAAGAUGUUUCUCAGUCAAGCCAUGAUCAGUAGCAUUCAGUCAGUCAGUCACAUGACUCGGAAAACUCAGUAAAUUCAGUAUCAAUCCAGUCCAACUCAGUAAUCUCAGUAAACUCAGUUAGUUAAACAGAACUCAGUAGUAUUCCGUCAGUCAACGGAAUUCAGUGAACUCAGUCUAGUUCAACUCAGUAUAAUCAGUUCAAUAUCUAUUCAGUUGGGAGUAGAAUUUAGCACCGAGUGAACCCAAGGAUGGGACUCACCUGCCAGCAGAGGCUGUGAUUCUUAGAAGCAGUCCUUGCAUUCCAGAACUACAAAGCCAACGUAGGUUAAGACAUCAAAACCUGUCAGAUAAGGGUAGAUGAGGUGGCUUCACCUGUCAGAUGAAGGUACCACUGUUCUCCUUAGAGUACCUGCCAGAUGAGGGUCACUCACAGCUUGUCCUUACCAGUGGCGCGGUAUUGAUACCUUUCCAAUUGGGGUUACAGAUUGGACCCCAACUCAGCUAUAUUGCUUUAUUCGGGGCAUGCCGGUUAGAUAACUACCUCCCACAGUCUCAGUCUCAAUCUUCAGAAUAGAACUCAGAUAGCUUUAUAGAUUUCAAGACUGUCAAAUACAGUCACUCAGCUCAGUACGGAACUCGGCUAGUUCCAUCAGAAUCAAGACCGUCAGAAACAGUCAUCCAGUAUCAGUUAUAUCAGUUAUCAGUAAUCUAUGAUAUAUGUUAUCAGUAUAUUCAGUAUUCAGAAUCCCCAUGUUUCAGUUACAGUCAUGUUUUCAUGCAUGUAUCCUCACGCAGUCAUAUUUAUGUAUUAGUCAAUUAUAGUUCAUACAUAUGAACCCCAUGCAUUCAGUCAUACCUCACUUUGCGUACCAAUACAUUCACACGUACUGACGCAUACUUUUCUUUUGUGCUAUGGUGUUUUAUACCAUAGGUUCGGACGCUCAGGUUCCCGACUGUGCAUAGGCAGCUUCAAGUUUCAGUCAGCAGCAGUAGACUAGCAGUGAGUCCUCAUCAUUCGAGGAUGCUUUAUCAUUUCAGUAUUUUAGUACUUAGUCUAUUUCAGCAGUUGGAGUUAGUUAGGGACAUGUCCCAUCAACUCUCUAUUCAAACAAUUUAGAGUAUUCAGACUAGAUAUUCAGACUUCAGUAUCUUCAGUUAUUUCAGUUGUUUUGGUAUUGUUAUACCACAUUCAAAAUUAUUAUUUUUAUUAUUCAAUUUUGAACCUUAUGGCAUUUCAGCUCAUUUUUCGCAUAUUUCAUAUUAUUAUACAGUUAUUACAGCAGGUACCAGUCAUGGGUUUGCUAGUGGUCCUUCGAGAUUGUUAACACCGUGUAGCGUCUGGGGUACUAGACUCGGGGAGUUACAAUUACUUAUUACUUACUUAUAUAUAAGUACUUAUAUAUACAUACAUACAUACAAGCAUGCAUAUAUAUAUAUACUAGAUGGUGAAGCCUGCGCUAGCGCGGGCCCAAUAAUAAUGACGUAGCUAUUGUUCGAUCGUACCUAGAUAGAACAAUUUUGCAUUGCGAAUGCCAAAUAUACCUCUUUUUGCAAAAGAAGAUGGUAUGAUUGUGACCAUCUUUAAGUUUUCAUAUAGUCAAAGAACAAUGACACAGAAUAUUAGAAUAGCAAAGUGUUUAAGAGCAGAAGCAUGUAUUGCACCAGUAAACAUAUCUCUCUCUGUGUCCAAAUCAUGCUAUCGAAGGAGUUGUAAUAUUUCCCAAUAAUGUACAAUUGCCUCUGUAACAUCCAAAUAGAACAAUGAGUGAAUGCAAUUACAAAUUAUAAUAUUGUCUUCUAAUUUUAGAUGUUUAACAUAAAAUGUUGUAGCAUAAUAACUUACUCCGAAGGAACGUCGCUGAUAAGAUUCCGAUCACCAUCAAGUGAGUUUCACUAAGUUCCAACCUUCUUCGAGUUAUCAACGUUGGAAUGAGCCAGCAACUUUUCUUCACUAUGGCCAACUACAAAUUUACAGUCCUUGGAGCAGAUGCCUCUUAUGUUAAACCCUUCACAAUGUCGGUUCUUAUGGUGGGACCAGCUCGGACAACUAAUGUCCUAAUCAAAGCUGAUGAACAACCAGCUAUAUAUUACAUGGCAGCGAAAAAGAAGAGAGGGCGGCAAGACCAGAGAAGGAGCUAAAACCGCUUAGGAAGUUGCACAACUGACUCAUGAGCUUUCUUGAUGACACUACAUAUCAGCACUUAAUGAAUCAAGCAGGUUUAGUUGCAGCACGCCAUAGGCUUUACUUAUUCAGCGGUUACGAAUCAAACAUGAUUAGCUGCAGUACCAAGUUGUUUAUAAAAGACAGAGUAGGACUACGUAUGAACAUAUACAUAAGACCUCCUGAUCCUUCAAAAACUAAUUGUACUGUUUAGAUGAUGGUUUUCCAUGGCAUAGUAUGGUAUGGUUACUAAGAGAACCAUGUUUGUUUUGAUUGUUUCUUAAAAUGAAUAGUAUGGUAUGGUUUAAUUUCAUGGUUUGGAAACCAUGAAAACCCUUAUUUUAUAACCACCGGUUUGGUGGUAUCCCAUGAUUUGCUCAUUUUUGUUUUUUCAAUUAUGCUCUUAUUUAACAUUAUAUAAUCCUAUUUUACCCUUUACCCUAUAUUUAUUAUUUAACUCCACCUCCUACCCCCAACCCAAAAUCCCACGAACCACCCCUCCCCUCCCUUCCCUAAAAAGAAAAAAAAAUAUUUAAAAAAAAAAAUUAACUUUUUUCUUAUAAAAAAUAACAAACAAGAAUUAAAUAACGAAUUCAUUUACAUUAACAAAACAAUCAUGAAAAUGAAGGUGAGCAAGACUGCAAAGCUUGUUGAAUUACGUUUUGAACAAUACUUAAAUAUUUGAACACGUACUUAAGUAAAAAUUAGCACUUAACUGGAUGUUUGAUUCAUACAAACUAAAAGAUCAUAGAAAAAUAUGUUAACUACUAAAGUUUGAUUUAAACUAAUUUGGGAUUAUUCUUUAAACUAUUACAGAACCCCCAUUAAAAAGUUAUUGAAUAUUCUCAGACAUACUGUCAAAUACCUUUGUUGCACAAAGUUUUCACCUUUCGUAAUCAUUUUUUUAAAAAAAAAAAUUAACACCCAAAAUUUUUCCCAGAAAAAGGAUAUAUGAUUAAACAACAAAGCCAACAUGCAUCAAGAAAUAAGAGCAAACAUGCCAAAAUAUAAUCCUUUGAACACAAAGGAAAAAAGAAACUUGGAGAACUACAUACACAUAUAUGUCAAUCACUCAAAUACAAAAGCAAGGAAGGAAUUAAAAAACAAAACGACAAAAAUUGUACGGGAAAAACUCACCGAUGAAUUUUAGGGGUAUAAAAAUAUAUGCACAUCCGUAGAAGAAUGAGGAAUGAAGAAGACAGAAAAUAGUAAAAAUUAGGGGGAAAGUGAAGACAUGUAGAAGUUGAAGCCAGCUGUCUCACAUAUCAAAACAGUGUAAUAAAAAUGAAGAUUAGAAGGUUGAAGUGAAAUAUAUAGAAGAAAUACUAAGCAGCGGUUUGGCCAUUCAAAUUACUUUUCUCCCGAGGAGUUGGAGUUAAAUGAAGUUAGAAUUGGAGUUGUGUUUAAUUAUUUUUAUAAAAAAGAUAAAUUUAAGAUUUUUUAAAAAAACUUUUUAAAAUAGGAUUUUAUGUCCUCAACUUUUUAAAAUUAUCAAAAUUAUCUAACUACUAAUUUAUUUACUAAUAUACAUACAAUCAAAUGAUGUUGAGAAAAUAAUUUAUAUGUCUUCAAUUGAUAAAAUAAUUAACAACAAACUAAUUAUUAUGAUAGUUAUUCUUCUAAAAUUUAAAUAAAAAUAUCACAAGCACGAGCUAAAUAAAUUUAUCUAACCAUAAUCGAUUGAAUAGAAAAAAAUAUAUUUUGAUAUGUCUAAAAAGAUCAAAAUAAUAUGUCGAGUCCUAAAUUAUAUGAGAAGAGAAAAAUAUAAUUUAAAAAUUAAGAAUUUCUUAAAUAGAUGGUAUUUUGAUCUAGAUAAAAAAAUUAUAAUAUUUAGUAUUGGUAAAAUAUAUAAAUCAUUUUAAAACAUUAUUUAGAAAAUAAAUUUUAUACUAAGUAAUGAGGGAUAAACGUGCAUGACACGUUCUCAUAAACUAGUAUAUAGAAAUAUAUAAAAAAAGUUUAAAACAUGAUUACUAUUUUCUAACAAAAGUUUAAAACAUGAUUUCUUUUUUAAUCUUUCAACAUUUUCCUCCUCUCUUACUUCCUGACAUAAUUGCUAUUUUUUAAAAAUAAAAAUUUUAAAUCAUAUUUCUUUUUAAUCUUCUAACUUUUAAAUAACAAAGAUAAAAUAUAACCAAAAUAUAAUAUUUUUAAGUCUAAACAUAAAACGCAGAAAGACGUUAUAGAAAUAGCGCAUAAAGAGCAUAUUAUAAAUAUGUACUGUAAAUAAUAUUACUUGAAUAGAGAAAAAAUAUAUUUUGAUAAAUUCUUAAUAGAGAAAAAAUAUAUUUUGAUAAAUAUGAUUGAUAGAUACAAAUAUAUUUUAUAUAUUCUUAAAUUUAUUGAUGAAAAUUCUUAAUUAUUUUCACUUGAAUUAAUUAUUUUAUUGAAUUUGGUCUUUCUAAAAAAAUUACAGAAUUUAGUUAAUAAGAGGGUUUUGUGUAAAAAUUUAAAGAUUGGGUUAUAUGUAAUAAUAAUAAAAAUUGGAAGUGGAAAAAAAGAAAAACAACAAAAAGUUGUUUUCCCUUUUCGAAAUUUAAUUCCGAAAUUAUUUUCCAAAUUUUUAUGGUCAAACACCAUAAUUAUCAACUUCGAAAAAAAUUUCAAGAAAAAAAGAAAAAAUAUCCAUGGCCAAACGGGCCCUAAAAUGUCCAUAAAAUAAUUUCAGUAUUCCAAAAGUACCCUUCGUCGUACCAAGAAGUCUCACUUAUAUAUAUACUAGCUAGCUUACGCCGUGCUACGCACGGCCCAAUGUUGAUCUUUAAAAAUUUUACGUUAUGUAUAAUUCUAUCAUUUAAUUAAAAGCUUUAUUUGUUUGGUUGAUAAAUUUUAAGUUAGACAUAUAAUAUUAUAUUUAGAUUGAUGAAAUUUGCAUAACGAUAUUUUAAGUUGUUAAAACUUUUGUGACAUUGACAGUCAAUUAUAUUUUUUAAAUAAUUUAAGUUCUUAAUUAUUGCGAUUUAUAAUAUUUUUUUUCUAUUCUACUAAUUAGAAGUAACAUUAUUAAUUUAAUAUUAAAUAUUAUUAAUUUUUUAAAACUUAAAUGACUUUAUAAUAAUUUUUUAAUAUUAAUUUUUAAUACUUAGAUGACUCAUAAUAAUUAAUUAGGGGUGAUAUAGUAAAUUACGUUGAACCAACUAAAACAGACAUGUCAAAAAUUUUGUCUUUUUUUAUUAAAUAUUGCUAAUUUUUUUUUUCCAAAUAAUAAUAAGUGAAACUUUGGAGAAUUUAGUAGUCAUUUUGAAAACUACCCUUUUAUUAAAUAUUAUUAAUAUUAUAAUACUUAAAUGAAAUAAUUUAUAAUAAUUAAUUAAAGGUGAUAUAAUAAAAUUACGUUUGAAGCAGCUGAAAUAGGCAGCUGGAGUAGCCAGGACGAUCCCAAGCUGCUCAGCAUUACCGCUUCUAUUAUAGAGUAACUAGAUGAACACGACCCGUGUACCACGGCCCAAUAUAUAUUUUAUUUUAAUUUAUGUGAUGUAAAUAAAAUUUAAAAAAAUAAUUAUUAAAAUAAUUUAAGUUUUUAAUUAUUAUGAUUUAUGAUAUUUUUUAUUCUAUUUUAAUUUAAGUGACAAUAAUAUAAUUUCAAAAGUGAGUCAAGUAUUUUAUAUUUUUAAUUUUUUAUCAAAUAUUAUUUAUUUUCUUAAUAUCUAAAUGAAUCAUAAUAAUUAAUUAAGAGUGAUUAAUUAUAUUAAUCCUACAAAAAUUAACAUAAUUUUAUCCUAAUUAAUAUAAUUUUAUUAUAUUCAAUAGUAAUCAUGAAUAAUUCACCUAAAUAAUGCAAAUCUUAAGAAAAUAUUACACACACAGAGAUGCACACAUAUUAUAUAAUAUAUUAAUAAAACGUUAAGGAGCCAAGUUUUACAAAAUGAUUCUGAACAUUGUUUUUAUGUACAUAAGAUGACAUUUGAUGCAUCGUCAAAUUUAGAUUCCCAAACAUGAGUCUGAGACUGAAUCUUGGUGCAUAAAAUAAACAAUUUAAAAUUAAGGUUAGCACAAGAUAUAUUAAACAAAAGAAAUAUUUCGAGCAUUAUUAUCAAUUUCAACAACUAAAAGAUUUUGCAUCAAUAUUUAUCAACUAAGUUUUAACCAAUUAUUUUCUUUACAAACUCACAACACACUCAAUAAGGAAAGCAGUUUUCAAACGUUCUCCAUCAUAACAAGCAUACAAAUAGCUAUUAAAAAUUCAGCAAAAGUUUUUCAAAACAUGCAGAUAGUCAUAGAUUUAUUAUUCAGUUAGUUUUCAAGCGGUUAAAUAAAAAAAAUGUUCAUUACAUCAAUAGAUCUGAAUGUAUUCACGCAGUAAAAAUAAAGUUGAUCACGAUAGCAGUAGUACAUAUCACGAAAAUCAGACUGAGGAAAUAGUUGCAACUCUUUCAUUUGAGUUAGAGAGAAAAUGUCAAAGAUAAUGACAUUGGAGACAACGCAAGAUAUCAGAGAAGCUAAAGCGCAUAGUAUCAUAGAAUGAUAUCACAGAGCGAACAUUUAUUCAGGAGUAUGAAACUUAAACAAUUACAAAUGAUGUUUUAAAAUGGAUAAAGUCAUAGUUACGAUUUUAGUUGUUUCUUUUUUCAAUCAGUUUACUUUGUGUUGUAAUUGGUAAUUUGAUAUCAUUGAGAUGAUUUAAGGAUCAAAUUAACAAAGAAAGUUGCAAAUGGAAAAGUGCAACGAUAGUAGUUAAUAAAUGAGUAAAAGAAAAAGCAAGAGGUGAAAUUAUGUCUAUUUGUCACCUUCGGUAGCUGUAAGCAGGCGUUCUUUUAAAGAAGAGCGAAAAGACAAUAUGAAGAUGAGAGCUGCAAAGCCAUAAGAGUACACAAAAACCUGUGGUAAAGAAUAUGAAAAUGUCAUAUCAAUAGAAAAUAAAAAAGUUAGAAUAACAAGAGGUGAAACUAAGUCUAUUUAUCACCUUCGAUAAUUGCAAGUAGGCGCUCUUCUAAAGAACUGCAAAAAGGCAAUCUGAAGAUGAGGACUGCAAAGCUAUAUGCAAUCUAAGAUCUUCUUGGUUGUUAUUCAAAAGGUCCAAUAAUAUAUAUAUAUAUGGCAAUUCUGAUUAGUCAAUAAAAAUCGAUUUCAAUGCUAUUUUUUUUAUGAGUUUAGCCAAUUUAUCAUGAAUGGUAAAAGGGGGUAAAGGAACCGUGUGUUGAUUGUCCUGUAAAUAUAAAUUGCCUUCCUUUAUAUGUAAAAAGGGAAUAAAUAAAUCAAUUAAAUUUUGGGAUGCUUCAUGAAGUGCUUCUUUCAGAGUUAAACUUCCAUUUGUCCAUAUUUCGAUAAAAAGUAUCUCUUGUUUUUCAUUUUCAUUUCCAUAAGAAUGAAUACUAUGAUUCGCGUUUCGAACAGGCAUGAAUACAACAUCUAUAGGAUAACUUCCAUCUUGAAAGUUAUGUGGCGUUUUUAUAAGAUAUCCAGCCUAGUCUAUAGGAGGUUUUGAAAAUAAGGGAGCAAUAAUCAUUUUCUUUUUAUUUUAUUUAGUAAUUUACUAGUAUUUUACCUACAUAUACUUUUUUGUUUACAUUAUAGAAAAAGAAAGAGAGGAUAUUUACCUACAUUUACCUUAUAAUGCAAUCCCAUUCUCUGGUCCAAUUGCUGUUUUUGUUUCUGUAUUUCUGAUUUAUCCACUAGGUUAGUUUGGUUGGUUCUGAAGGAACUGGAUCGGAAAAAAGAGGGAUUCUAGUUGUAAGAUAUCUAAUGAAACCGUCGCUGGAAUUGAGAUCUUAUUCAAAGAGAGAGAUCUCAAAUAUCUAAAGUUUUUUUUGUAUAUUAUAUGGAUUAUUCAAUCCGCAAGGGCCAUGAUUAGGAAUUGUUUGGUCGUCUUUCUCUGAGGAAGAGUCAAAAUAGAAUCAAUUUGAAUUCGGGACCACUAUUCGAAAUCUUAGUGAAACACUGAAUUUCUUAUCUCAUGUCUGCUUUUCAUAAAAAAAUACCAAUUAAAGUGGAGGGUUUCUUCAAACAACAAAGGGUUGGGUCAACUAUUCAAUCAAAUCUCAGGGCUUAACCCUGGACAGGCGGUGGAAACUACCAAGCUGGAGUAAGGUAGGGGCAGAGGGAAUUUUCGGUGGAGCCGUGAAAUGCGUAGAGAUCGGAAAGAACACCAACGGCGAAAGCAAUCAGCUGGGCCGACACUGAGAGACGAAAGCUAGAGGAGCGAAUGGGAUUAGAUACCCCAGUAGUCCUAGCCAUAAAUGAUGGAUACUAGGCGUUGUGCGUAUCGAACUGUGCAGUGCUAAUCUUCAAAAAAUGUUUCAAACAACGUAAGCAAUUAAAGAAAGGCUCAUGGUUCAAUAUUUUUUCUGGUAUUCCUACGAUUUUCAGACUUGACCCAUCAAUUUUAUCUGAUAAUCCGGCUAUUGACAUGCCAAAUCAAAACUUAAUAAUGAAACUGGAGUAGUAUCUUGUAUAUACAAAAUCCCAGAAAAAUACAUAUAAGCACACACAAAAAAAAUUGUAAUUUUUUUAUAGAGUUUGUGAAAGGGUUAUUUAUUAAGAAUCAAUUUCUUUGUGAAAGAGUUAUUUAUUAAAAAUCAAUUUCAGAUCAUUUAUUUAGAUGUUGCAAUGAUCCAAGAAUGUGUUACUGGGUUCAAAAUUCUAAUCUUAUUAUUAGAAGAAGGUAGCAGUUGAAAACAUACAUGUACAUUAGAAACUAAGAACAACAGUCUUCUUCUAUAUACAAAAGAUUUGUAUGUUGUGGUGUUAAAGACAUACUCCUUAGGAUGCAUCAAAAAGUGGCUCCAAUUGUAACCCAAAAGUAGCAAGCCAAAAACGUUUCACUGUUGAUCAAAUUAAGGUAUAACAGUAAGGUAAAGUGAAGUUAAUCAGGGAAAUAGAUUGCAAUGAAUUUUGUUGCGAUAAUAAUUUCAAAGUAAGUGAGAUACCUUCUGGUAGUUUUUCAGGGGUGGAGGUCUGGUAUGAGAAGAACUUGUUUGAGUUGAUGUACUCUGGGUGUCUUCUGUAUUUAUGUCAUGAUCUUCAAUUUUUCUUUUACCACCUCCUUCAAUGUCCAUUGCAACAGCUGAAAGUUGAGCACUGACUGAAGUCUCCUUCUCUUCGAAAGAUGUAAUGAUUAACUUUCCAGAACUUACAUCAGUGGAUUUUGGAAAUGAUUUUUUGACCUGGAUACUGAAUAUUUUUUCAGUCAUUAGUGUAGUCGCAUUUUCAACAAGUAGCAUUUGCCUCUAUAAAAUGCAAACAACAAAGAAUAAUUUUCUAUGAUUUUUCCCUUUUUAGAAUUGAAAAGAAUUAUACUACUAAAAUGGUAAGUUGUCAUGUUUUUUGAAAGAAGAAUUAUAUUCAUUAAUAAUGUUUUGCUAAAUAUAUGAACACACUUACUUUGUGAAGUAAAUUCACUAAAGUUAUAAAGAAACCUUGGCACAACAAAUAUCAUAUACUUCAUCUGAAGUGAGCUGCAACAUUGCUUCGGCCGCUUCAUCAUCUAUAAGUGUCGUUGCAGAACCACUAUCGUCUCCAUAGUGACUUCAAAUUGACAUCUAUUAUAAGAAAGAUCAAGAAAGUGUUCAUUAAAUGAAUGAAAAUCUUAUAUUAUAAAUUCUAUGUGAAAUUUUUUUAGGUUAUUUGUUAUACUUUGGAACAAGAUUUGUAGAUUGACAACAAGUUGCACAGUAAAAUGCUCUGCAGGAAUGAAUUCUGAAGAAGACACGCUUACAGUCUGAGCAAUUCAUAACAACAAAUUCUUGGUUUUCAUUUGGCAACGAAAGUGCAGCUUCUAUAUAAAAGAUCUGACCCUAAAAGAUUUGAACGGUAGAAAUUUUAUUUUGUAAUUUAAAAUUUAAUAAAAGUUUAGUAAAAUUAUUUAUAAAAUUUAUGAUUAUUUUUACCGAGGGGUUGUGAAAGAGUGAUGGAUGUGAUCUCAUCUUGAAAGGGAAUGAAUCGAAGAGAUCCUGUUGCAGUUGUAGUCUUUCUUUUAUAAUCCAUUAACAAUUGCUCAUUUGCUUUGAUCCUAGAAAUUAAAAACAUAAAGAAUUAUUUUUUUUUUUUGCACAUUUGUGUUAUGUAAAAGUGAACUUUUUUUGUUGAGAAGGAUACCAUGCUCUGAGCGCAGCAACCUGUGGGUACGAAGGAUUGAUCUGAAUCAUUGUGCCGAAUCUACUUGUUGAACCUGCGUGUAUUGAAAUAGUUAGUUUUAAUUUUGUAGUUUAAUGUUUGUUAACGAUAUCAAAUACCUAUGUAUGUGUACCUGAUUUUGAUUUUGCAAUUUUUCUCGCGAGAAUGAUUGAAAAUUUAUAGAGUAUUUCCAAAAUUUUGCUUCCAUCAUGAUCGAUAAAAUUUGUCCAGAGUGUGAGUUUGGUGGGUUUUUUCCUGUAUAAAAAGAAGAAAUGGUAUUUGGUAUUUAUAUUAUAUUUUUAAAAAGAAAAUUAUAUUCAAUAAUGAUAUACAAAUAUUGAUAAUAACAAAAAAGUGAGAUAAUUAUUUAUUUAUAUCACCUCUUCACCAACAACGAUUUUAUGCAAAAUGUGAGAUAGUGAGUUAAAAAAAAACAUAUGUUAAGCUGAAAAUAUAAAGCAUCUAUAUCUUGAACUUUGUAAAUAUAAUUAUUAAUCAAAAAUAAUUUUUAGCCCAAGCAAUGAAACAUGGCAUUAUAACAAAUAAAGCUUGAAAUAAAAAGAGCAUGAAAUUUCAAUCUCCAUAAACAAAAGAUCGAUGUACAAUAGGUUUUAUUACCGUUCUUAAUAAUGUACUUCUAUCUAAAAUGGAGAAUUGAACCAGAAUAUUAAAAUUAAAUUCUAGCAGAAACUGAAUUAUAAUAUACUAAUCUAACAUAUCAUCAAAAGUAAAUGUCCCAAUAUUUCAGUACUAAAUAAAGAUUUUAAAGGAAAUUUUGAAUAACAAUUUGAAAAAAAAAAAGUAAAUGUCCCAAUAUUUCAAUACUAAAUAAAGAUUUUAAAGAAAAUUUUGAAUAACAAUUUGAAAAAUAGAAAGAGUUUGAGUUUGCUCAAAGACAAUUCUUAAUCUAUCAUUACAAUAAACACCAUAUAAACAUAUUAAUCUAUAUUUGCUUUCAGAUAUCAAUUACAGAAUUUUCGAGGACUUUGUAUUAAGAACAGUCAACUAUUUAAUAUUAGCAAAUUGCAAAGGGAUAGACGCUAUUAUAAGUGAGUAAAAUUACCAUUACCAGUAAGCAACUCUAUGUCAACAGAGAUGAAAAUCCUGCUCAAAACUAAGAAAAGCACACAUCUACAUAAUUUUAUGUUUCAAUUUUGCGGCAGUUUCAAUGUACUCGUCCAAAAUAGAGAAUUGAACCAAAUUAAAUAUCCAAGUCUAAUUCUAGUAGAAGUUGAACUAUACUAUACUAAUCCAACAAAUCAUUAAAUAUGAAGCGCCCAACGUUCUAAUACUAAAUAAAAAUUUUAAUGUGAACUAUCAUUAAUAUUUUGGGAAAACACAGUGUGAUUUGGUUUAAAAAUAAUUUUUAAUCUAUUACGACAAUAAACACUAUAUAAGCAUGUUAAUCUAUAUUUGGUCUCAGAUACAUACUGUAGGAUUUCUGAGCAGUUUGUACUAAGAACGCCUAACAAUUUACUAUCAGUAAAUUGCACAGAGAUGAAUGUAGGGGAUUUGGGUCACAGGUGACAAGAGUUUUAAAAUGAGGUGUAGGUGACGCAAGUCUUAAUUAUUAGUUGGAGGUGAUAAUUACUUUAUUAUGGAUUAAGAAAGUUGGGGAAGUUUGAAAAUAAUCUACAAGUUUUUAAAUUUACACUUUGAUCCCAAUGUAUACCUAAAAUAACGGAAAAUGGAGGGAAAAAAGAUGUCUUUCUCUCUCUUCUCACCCAUUGUUGUUUUCUCUCUCUUAGCGAUUUUUGUUGUUAAUUGUUUCUGUUUCUGCUGCUUUAUUCAUCAUUUUCUACUUCAUUAUCAUCUUCAUCUUUUCCUUGUCGACCAUUUGUUGUUGUUGUUGUUGUUGUGGGUACAACGCUACUGCUGCGAUCUAACCAAUUUCUUAGAUCAAAUUUUAUUUACUACAUCACUUUCCACUUUGGCAUUACUUCAUAGAUUACUUUGGUAAGUAAAAUUAUGAUUUUUAUUCGUAUUUGUCAUCUGGGUACACUUCUAUUUUUCCAACAAUGGAUAGAAACCCAAUUAUGAAUCCAGUAUAAGUGCCCAUAAUUUAAACAGAUCAAUCAUCUGAUGCAUCAGAUGAGUAAUCUGUUGCAUGAGAAGAUUUAUCUGUUGCAUCAUCGUAUUAUCUGUUGCACUAGACUAAUUAUCUGUUGCACCAGACUAAUUAUCUGUUGCAACAAAUGAUUAAUCUGUUUGAAACAACACAAAUCAACCCCUGCCACAAACCCAACAGAUAACCAAUAUGUUUUCUACACUUGCUAUUGCUACUGGAUUAAAAUUUUCCUUACUCCAAUUACCCAUCCCAAAUUUCCUAAUUCAAUUUCUCAUUUUACUUGUUAUUUUCAUUAAUCAAGAAAAGAUUAAAAAAAAUUCAUGUUUACCCUUUGCAUUAAUAACUUUUUCUUCAAAUUAAAAUUGAAACAUCAUUUAAUAGGGGGACUAUACGCCGAUCGACGUUAAAAGCUUUCUUCUCUUAUGAAAUUUGAUUGAAUAGCAAACAAUGGUUAUUUCAAACACGUCUAAUGUCCCAACAACUGAUCAGUGGGUUAUGGUAAACUACACAUGUUAUUAAUUAUUUUUCUUAAUCAAUGUGGCAUCUCAAUUUGGGAUGGAUAAUUUGACACGGAGGGAGUACGAAUUAAAACGUUAGAUCCAAACAAAGCAACAAACUAGUCAUUUGUUGAAACAGACUAUUUAUCUGUUGCAUCAACUUCUUAUAUGUUGCAACAUGAGUAAUCUAUUUUGAACAACACAUCAACCCCUGCCACAAACCUAACAGAUAAAUCUUGUUGUUGCUACUGGAUUCUAAAUUAUUCCUUUUUACGUCGAAUCGUUGACAUGUUUGUUGAGAAGAUAAUAGACAGAAUGAAAAUUAAAUAUGGAUUAAAACAUCAAAUAUCAAACAUAAUUUAUUUAUUAAAUAAAAACAAAUAAAAAUACAUAUAAUAGAUUAAAAGAAAAAUAAUAGUCUAAUUAUUAUUAUUAUUAUUAUNNNNNNNNNNNNNNNNNNNNNNNNNNNNNNNNNNNNNNNNNNNNNNNNNNNNNNNNNNNNNNNNNNNNNNNNNNNNNNNNNNNNNNNNNNNNNNNNNNNNNNNNNNNNNNNNNNNNNNNNNNNNNNNNNNNNNNNNNNNNNNNNNNNNNNNNNNNNNNNNNNNNNNNNNNNNNNNNNNNNNNNNNNNNNNNNNNNNNNNNNNNNNNNNNNNNNNNNNNNNNNNNNNNNNNNNNNNNNNNNNNNNNNNNNNNNNNNNNNNNNNNNNNNNNNNNNNNNNNNNNNNNNNNNNNNNNNNNNNNNNNNNNNNNNNNNNNNNNNNNNNNNNNNNNNNNNNNNNNNNNNNNNNNNNNNNNNNNNNNNNNNNNNNNNNNNNNNNNNNNNNNNNNNNNNNNNNNNNNNNNNNNNNNNNNNNNNNNNNNNNNNNNNNNNNNNNNNNNNNNNNNNNNNNNNNNNNNNNNNNNNNNNNNNNNNNNNNNNNNNNNNNNNNNNNNNNNNNNNNNNNNNNNNNNNNNNNNNNNNNNNNNNNNNNNNNNNNNNNNNNNNNNNNNNNNNNNNNNNNNNNNNNNNNNNNNNNNNNNNNNNNNNNNNNNNNNNNNNNNNNNNNNNNNNNNNNNNNNNNNNNNNNNNNNNNNNNNNNNNNNNNNNNNNNNNNNNNNNNNNNNNNNNNNNNNNNNNNNNNNNNNNNNNNNNNNNNNNNNNNNNNNNNNNNNNNNNNNNNNNNNNNNNNNNNNNNNNNNNNNNNNNNNNNNNNNNNNNNNNNNNNNNNNNNNCUUUGAUUGAGUUGUGACUCGAUAUAGGUUGCAUCAGAUAAAUCAUCUGUGACAACAGAUAUAUCAUCUGUUGCAACCAUAGUGAACCUGUUGCAUCAGCUAAUUUAAUUGUUGCAACAUAUAAUCUACUUUUUUUUAAAAAAAUAAUAACUAUCAUCAUAUCAUUAAUCCAAAUUUGCUUACUUUUUUAUUUUAUAAAUAAAAAAAAUACCUUUUCAAAUUCCUUAAUAAAAUAAUAACUAUUUUAUUAUAUAAUAAAUAUUUUAAAAAAAUAAAUUCAAAAACAAAAAUGGUAAAAAGUCACUAUCAGUUAUUAAAAUUUUGGUUAUAAAUUGUAUUUAUCAUUUAUUUCCUUAUUAUUUAUUUACGAAACAUUUUUCAUAUUGAAUUAUCGGAAUGGAAAGUCAUGUCUUUUUAUUUUCACCCUCUCAAUAACAAUAACCCUUUUUAUUAAUAACUGUCAGGUGCAACAUAUGAUCGAUCUGUCGUAGCAGAUUAACCUCUAACUGUUGACACAAAUUGCUGCUCAAUCCUUACCACCAACCGUCGACAUGUUGAGAACAAUGAAUAAAUAGAAUGAUUGUUAUUAAAUACUAAAUAAGAAUUAAAAAUUCAAAGUCGACAAUAAAAUGAAAUGAAUGUUCAUAAUUUUUGAAUCCCUUGGGUAGAUUUGAUAUACAAAAGGAGAAAAAUAAUCACUAAAAUAAAAAACAUUACCUAAUUAUCAUUACUACUAUUAUUAUUAUUAUUGUCAAUAAAAUCUCUCUGGAGUUCAUCAAACUACCUUUGAUGUUCACCCAAGGACUUGAUAUGAAUAUUCUUGUACGAAUCUGGAUCAUCCAUAUUUGUAAGGAGGGACCUAUUUAUAAAUUAUUGUAUCUCAAAAAGAAAAGAAAAUUGCUUUAAAAUAAAUGUAACAGAUGGGUAAUCUGUUACAAAAUAUAUUCUUUCUGUUAGAUGACUUACAACAUACUGACAAUCUUUUGCAACAGAUGAAUAUAUCUGUUUGAUUUUUUCAACAGGUUGAUCAACUGUCGUUACAGAUGUCUCCAAUUAUUUGACAAUAUAAACAGAUGUGUCAUCUGUUGCAACAAGCUAGUCAUCUGUUUAUUCAAUUUAAGUCAUAGAUGGGCUAGAAAGAAUAAGGUGCGUGCAGAUGGAUCUACUAUCAUAUGUGUGGGAGUUAAGUAUAUAUUACUGAUAAGGUUACCGGGAGUCAUAGAUGGGCUAGAAAGAAUAAGGUCCGUGCAGAUGGAUCCACUAUCAUAUGCGUGGGAGUUAAGUAUGUAUUACUGAUAAGGUUACCGGGGCAACACAUACAAAGUACAAUGUUAUUGUGAAUGCAGUUUUUAACCGAUUAGGCAUUGAUCAUUCAAACAAGAUCCUGCAUUGUAUCGUUAAGUUUGAUGAGUUCGAAAUUGGUAAGGCUGCGAACCUCAUGAAGAUAGUGCAGAUACCCUAUUACGAAUUACUGACGGUUGGUGCUCGUGUUUAUGUGUGUCAAGUUUUAACAAGGGAUCAAUAUUUGUCGUCACUGCAGAGAACCAAUAGCGAUUGGACUUAACUUUAAGUGUGAAUUAGACCCUUAGAGGGC
RNAcentral lists this long non-coding RNA (27084 nucleotides) under Capsicum annuum. RNAcentral describes it as "long non-coding RNA (CANN_LNC009451)". The stretch from base 19610 to 19899 matches the Rfam family "Bacterial small subunit ribosomal RNA", at positions 562 to 870 of the family's 1533-position model. The record is from RNAcentral. Lineage: Eukaryota; Viridiplantae; Streptophyta; Magnoliopsida; Solanales; Solanaceae.